AACGAACGCUGGCGGCAGGCCUAACACAUGCAAGUCGAGCGCGCCUUCGGGUGAGCGGCGGACGGGUGAGUAACGCGUGGGAAUAUGCCCUUCUUUACGGAAUAGUCCUGGGAAACUGGGGGUAAUACCGUAUACGCCCUUUGGGGGAAAGAUUUAUCGGGGAAGGAUUAGCCCGCGUUGGAUUAGGUAGUUGGUGGGGUAAUGGCCUACCAAGCCGACGAUCCAUAGCUGGUUUGAGAGGAUGAUCAGCCACACUGGGACUGAGACACGGCCCAGACUCCUACGGGAGGCAGCAGUGGGGAAUCUUAGACAAUGGGGGCAACCCUGAUCUAGCCAUGCCGCGUGAGUGAUGAAGGCCUUAGGGUUGUAAAGCUCUUUCAGCUGGGAAGAUAAUGACGGUACCAGCAGAAGAAGCCCCGGCUAACUCCGUG
RNAcentral lists this ribosomal RNA (431 nucleotides) under uncultured bacterium. RNAcentral's name for it is "partial 16S ribosomal RNA". It matches the Rfam family "Bacterial small subunit ribosomal RNA", at positions 29 to 507 of the family's 1533-position model. The record is from RNAcentral.